GACGAACGCUGGCGGCGUGCUUAACACAUGCAAGUCGAGCGGAAAGGCCCUGCUUGCAGGGUACUCGAGUGGCGAACGGGUGAGUAACACGUGGGUGAUCUGCCCUGCACUUCGGGAUAAGCCUGGGAAACUGGGUCUAAUACCGGAUAGGAGCCAUUUUUAGUGUGAUGGUUGGAAAGUUUUUUCGGUGUAGGAUGAGCUCGCGGCCUAUCAGCUUGUUGGUGGGGUAAUGGCCUACCAAGGCGGCGACGGGUAGCCGGCCUGAGAGGGUGGACGGCCACAUUGGGACUGAGAUACGGCCCAGACUCCUACGGGAGGCAGCAGUGGGGAAUGUUGCACAAUGGGCGCAAGCCUGAUGCAGCGACGCCGCGUGGGGGAUGACGGCCUUCGGGUUGUAAACUCCUUUCGCUAGGGACGAAGCUUUUUGUGACGGUACCUAGAUAAGAAGCACCGGCUAACUACGUG
RNAcentral lists this ribosomal RNA (465 nucleotides) under uncultured bacterium. Its description in RNAcentral is "partial 16S ribosomal RNA". It matches the Rfam family "Bacterial small subunit ribosomal RNA", at positions 28 to 507 of the family's 1533-position model. The record is from RNAcentral.